CAAAACUUUCAACAACGGAUCUCUUGGCUCUGGCAUCGAUGAAGAACGCAGCGAAAUGCGAUACGUAAUGUGAAUUGCAGAAUUCAGCGAACCAUCGAAUCUUUGAACGCACAUUGCGCCCGCCAGCAUUCUGGCGGGCAUGCCUGUCCGAGCGUCAUUUCCCCCCU
RNAcentral lists this ribosomal RNA (167 nucleotides) under Sporothrix brasiliensis. RNAcentral's name for it is "5.8S ribosomal RNA". It matches the Rfam family "5.8S ribosomal RNA". Rfam says of the family: 5.8S ribosomal RNA (5.8S rRNA) is a component of the large subunit of the eukaryotic ribosome. It is transcribed by RNA polymerase I as part of the 45S precursor that also contains 18S and 28S rRNA. Functionally, it is thought that 5.8S rRNA may be involved in ribosome translocation. RNAcentral also lists the same sequence under 4 other names. Lineage: Eukaryota; Fungi; Ascomycota; Sordariomycetes; Ophiostomatales; Ophiostomataceae. The record is from RNAcentral.